This is a long non-coding RNA of Manacus vitellinus (golden-collared manakin), 392 nucleotides long. RefSeq lists it as uncharacterized. The transcript has 3 exons. NCBI's taxonomy places the organism in Eukaryota, Metazoa, Chordata, Aves, Passeriformes, Pipridae. The record is from RefSeq and is a predicted model, not a curated record.
UGAAACCUGGUGUCACCAAUUUCCACUCACAAAAUGGAGCUACAGAAUCCUGCAUUCUGAAGACUGAAGAAACAAAGCAGUGAGGAAGUAACCAACAUAAUUCUUAUAAGAAGAGGACUUAGAAAAUGCCCAUUUACAAAAGGAUGGAGAGAUGCUUUACCAGUAUGUCCGCACAGGACCAACCUCUCCACAGCCAGGGACAGUGCCUGAAUGAAGAAUUCCUCAUCUACUACUUUACCAACAUCUUCAAGGGAUCCAUCAUAAACCACACAGGAAAUGUUCCUCACUCGUGUUCCCUCUCCACACUGAGCAUCCUAUGGAAGGAGGACAUAUAUGGAUACUGGACAGAAAAAAGUGCCAAAAGACUAGAUUUGACUUAUGUGUCACUCUGU